UUGAAAGGGAAACGAUUGAAGUCAGUCGUACCUGCGGGUAAUCAGCCUUUUGGGCACGAUUCUGUGGAGCGUGAGGGGUUAAACGCCUUCAUGCCUGCAUAUUCGUGUACUUUGGGUGUACUUGCCUGUGUGGUUAGUUAACAUCAAUUUUGGUUAUCAUAAAAUGGUUGGAGGAAUGUAGCUUCGAUUUCGAUUGAAGUGUUAUAGCCUUCGGCAGAUGUGAUGAUCGGGAUUGAGGAUUGCAACGGAUACCCUUCGGGGCUACCUGUCUGGUCUCUGAUCGUUGCUCUGGUGCCGAAAGCGUGCUUACGGUUAUCAAAGUCGAUGGUCAAUAGGUUAGAACGGGUUAAAUUCGUUAAGGAUGUUGACGUA
RNAcentral lists this ribosomal RNA (372 nucleotides) under uncultured Glomeromycotina. Its description in RNAcentral is "eukaryotic LSU rRNA". Lineage: Eukaryota; Fungi; Glomeromycota. The record is from RNAcentral.